This 253-nucleotide ribosomal RNA is filed under the name uncultured bacterium. RNAcentral describes it as "partial 16S ribosomal RNA". It matches the Rfam family "Bacterial small subunit ribosomal RNA", at positions 524 to 776 of the family's 1533-position model. The record is from RNAcentral.
UACAGAGGGUGCGAGCGUUAAUCGGAAUUACUGGGCGUAAAGCGUGCGUAGACGGUUAUUUAAGUCGGAUGUGAAAGCCCCGGGCUCAACCUGGGAAUUGCAUUCGAGACUGAAUAGCUAGGGUGCGGUAGAGGGAAGCGGAAUUUCCGGUGUAGCGGUGAAAUGCGCAGAUAUCAGGAGGAACACCAAUGGCGAAGGCAGCUCGCUGGGACGUGACUGACGCUGAGACGCGAAAGCGUGGGGAGCAAACAGG